Long non-coding RNA from Ipomoea nil (Japanese morning glory), 147 nucleotides. RefSeq lists it as uncharacterized. The record is from RefSeq and is a predicted model, not a curated record. The transcript has 3 exons. Lineage: Eukaryota; Viridiplantae; Streptophyta; Magnoliopsida; Solanales; Convolvulaceae.
AAAAUAAGUGCUACAGGUCUUAAGGUUGUAAGGCUGUGUACGAAGUCAAGGGAAGCUUUCAGUUUUCCUGUUGAGCAUUUAACUCUUCAUUAUCAGGUUCGCCAUCUUGAUACGUCAGAGAAAAGUGAGCUUCACAAGUUAUAGCAA